GCUGGGUGUGGUGGCUCACGCCUGUAAUCCCAGCACUUUGGGAGGCCGAGGUGGGUGGAUCACCUGAGGUCAGGAGUUCGAGACCAGCCUGGCCAACAUGGUGAAACUCCACCUCUA
Molecule: non-coding RNA, 117 nt
Filed under: Nomascus leucogenys (northern white-cheeked gibbon)
Lineage: Eukaryota; Metazoa; Chordata; Mammalia; Primates; Hylobatidae
Source: Rfam by way of RNAcentral